RNAcentral lists this unclassified non-coding RNA (334 nucleotides) under soil metagenome. RNAcentral's name for it is "partial contains 5.8S ribosomal RNA, internal transcribed spacer 2, and large subunit ribosomal RNA". The stretch from base 1 to 120 matches the Rfam family "5.8S ribosomal RNA", at positions 35 to 154 of the family's 154-position model. The record is from RNAcentral.
GAUGAAGAACGCAGCGAAAUGCGAUAAGUAAUGUGAAUUGCAGAAUUCGGUGAAUCAUCGAAUCUUUGAACGCACAUUGCGCCCGCCAGUAUUCUGGCGGGCAUGCCUGUCCGAGCGUCAUUUCAACCAUCAAGCCCCGGGCUUGUGUUGGGGACCUGCGUCCGACGCAGGCCCCGAAAACCAGUGGCGGGCUCGCUGUCCACACCGAGCGUAGUAGCUAACCUCGCUCCGGAGUGGCGCGGGCGCCUGCCGUAAAACCCCCCCAAUUUUACAAGGUUGACCUCGGAUCAGGUAGGAAUACCCGCUGAACUUAAGCAUAUCAAUAAGCGGAGGA